ACCGAGGGGUCUGUAGCUCAGUUGGUAAAAGGCGUCGGCUCGCAAGCAGGAGAUUGCAGGUUCAAUCCCUGGCAGCGGCU
This 80-nucleotide transfer RNA is filed under the name Molorchus minor. Its description in RNAcentral is "tRNA-OTHER". The record is from RNAcentral. Lineage: Eukaryota; Metazoa; Arthropoda; Insecta; Coleoptera; Cerambycidae.